UCACCUGAGAAAGUCUCUUUCUCAAUCUCAGUUUGUGGCAUCUUUCCUGCGGAGCCUUCACCAGAAUCAGCUUCUUUGGCAGGUUUGUUCUUCAGUGAUGCAUCUGCAUUUUCCUGCUCUUGAACUUCCAUUGCGAGCUGGGCAUUCUCAGCUCCUGCAUUCUCAGCAUUCUUUGUCUGAACAGAUUCUUUUUUAUCUCCUUCCUGGACCUGAUUUUCCUUGGUAACGUCAUUCUCUUUGCCUGCCUCUUCAUUUUCCUUCCCAGCUUCCUCUGCAUCUUGCAUUUGGACUUCUUUCUCACCUUCGCCUUUUUCAGGAGUAGUUUCUGUUUCCUUGCUAUCCUUCUUUGAACCUGACGAUUUUCGGCCUCGCUUCUUUGGGGGCUCCUUAUCCGGAGUUGGAGUUGCCUUGGACUUCUCACUGAUUCUCGCUGAUCUCCUGGGUGUCUCACCAGUUCCCCAAUCAAACUCUGAUAUCGCAGGAUUACCAGGGUGUGAUUUUAGGUACUGCUCCAUCUGUUUCCUGUUAUUAAUCUCUUCGCCAGUUGGAGCAAUAAACAUGAUUUCACUCUUCCUUGGUGUACCUGCUCUCUUUGGCAAAUACAUUUUCUUCCAAGCAGGAGGAGCAGGGAGCUCAACGGAAAUAACUUCCUCUUUAGCUUCCAUUUUUCACCGUUUU
This 678-nucleotide unclassified non-coding RNA is filed under the name Hevea brasiliensis (rubber tree). The record is from RNAcentral. Lineage: Eukaryota; Viridiplantae; Streptophyta; Magnoliopsida; Malpighiales; Euphorbiaceae.